UUAGAUGGGUUAGACCAAAGGAAUUUUUCCAUCCUUGAAAACUAAAGAAAUCUUUUACCUUGUAAUAUAGGGCAUCCAUCUUUUCCAGAUGGCAACACUUUUAAAGUUAGGGUUUCGGAGAACCCAUAAAAAUGAGAAAGACCUCGAAAAGUUACCGAUCUAGCCGGAAAAGCCAUAGAUCUGACUCGAAUGGCCAUGGAUGGCCGGGAAAAAAUCAUUAAUAGAAGUUGAGCAAAGCCUGGACUAGAUCUCUUUGAUACUUUCCAUGAAAUCACGAAAACAAGCAACCAUGAGACAUAGGAGACCGGUAUACGUCUCAAACAACCAUGAAAGUCCAUAGAUUUGUGUGAGAAUCAAGGGGGAUUAGGGUUAAUUUGGGUAGGGUUUAAAAGGGUUAGGUCAGUUUUAAUUGGAAAUUAGGGCGGGGAAUUGGUUUUUGAUUUGGGUUAGAUUUGAAAGCCAAUUUGGCUAAAAUUUAAAUAGCCAUUUUUACUUUUAAAUUAAGAAAAAUAGUAAAUGAUUUCUGAAAAUUAAUUAAAAAGGCCAAAAUGAUUUAAAACACAUAAUUAAAAAUUUAAGAAUACAAGACCUAAUUUUAUGAAUAUAAAACCUAACUAAACCUUCAAAAGGGCUAAUAUUGCAAUUAAGUGCAAAGACAACUAGAUUUUAUUUUCUACUAAAGUUUUUGAAAAGGCUUUAUGACAAAACUAAUGAAUCCGGGACAAAAAAAAUUCAGCUUUUAGUGCUAAAAUUUUUACAAAUGAACUAAAUAAUUGAAGCAGCUUCCGCUGAAGUUUUUGAAAAAACUUAUACAAGACAAAAACAAUUCAGCUUAUUUAGUGUUGAAGUAUUUAUAAAUGAACUAAAUAACUUCAACAUCUUCUGCU
RNAcentral lists this long non-coding RNA (887 nucleotides) under Nicotiana benthamiana. RNAcentral describes it as "long non-coding RNA (NBEN_LNC010948)". The record is from RNAcentral. Lineage: Eukaryota; Viridiplantae; Streptophyta; Magnoliopsida; Solanales; Solanaceae.